This is an RNA transcript of Anopheles merus, 2576 nucleotides long. RefSeq lists it as uncharacterized. The transcript has 3 exons. Lineage: Eukaryota; Metazoa; Arthropoda; Insecta; Diptera; Culicidae. The record is from RefSeq and is a predicted model, not a curated record.
UGCAAAUCGUUCGUGCAUCGAGCACCGAACAAUGCACUUCAAGAGGUGUGUUCGUCUGUGAAGUCUCAAUCGCGCUUUAGAGGAAGGUACACACAGUAAUCUACAGCAGUGCACAAGCAGACAACCUCCCCAAAAAAAAACUGCCAGACAGCAGCUCAACAACCAGACAGGCCCGGGCAGGCGCAAAAUUAGAUGAUGAGGUUGAUAUUGAGGCUUCUCAAUCGAUCGGUUCCAGCAUCGGCCAAUUGGACGGACGUGAUCUCGUUUGCACCAUCUCGGUCAGAAGGGGUGCAGGCUGGAGGAGGUGUGGAGCCAAAAGGGGCAGGUUGUUUUUUUUUGCUGAAGGGAAGGGAAGGGCCUUCGGAAUUGGUUUAUGCGCAAGCAGUGGCGCUACCUUAAAAGGAAGCGUUGAUUGAACCUCUUAAUCUUCAGCGACGAAAACCCGAAACGAAACGCCCCGAUCCUCGUGUGUGUGUGUUGGAAAGGCGAGUUGGAAAGGCAAGCGGAAGUCGGGGAGGAACGGGCCGGUUAAGAAAGGCAGAGCUGAGCAUAGCUGCGCACGAGUGAAAGACGGGGCCGGGGCUAAUUUUCUGCCUCAUUUGGGGCGCGUAACUCUUGUGGCGGCGGCGGCGGCGGCGUGCGUCGAUGGCAGGAUGGGAAGAGCUCGCGUAAAAGCUUGCGAAAUUGACAAGGCUAGUGUGUGUGUGUGUGUGUGUGUGUGAACUUGGUCUAUGGGAAGGGGUAGGUUGAGGUGAUGUGAUGUGUGUGUGUAUAUGGGAGUGAGGAAGUAACAGGCAAAAAGGCAAAGAUUAAGAGCAGCUCACUGUGUGACGCACCGUCCGAGGGAAAAUCGUUGUACACCGUGGCUCGGAGAGAAGCAAGGAAAGUAACCUCGUAUCACCUGCCAACAGAUUUGGUGAUGGUUGGAAUCGGUAGCAAGGUUUACCGCAAAACCACCUGUGCCGACCUGUCCGGGCUGAGAAAUGCUCAAUGGCAUAAUAUAAAGCGAGGGGAAAAAAGUUGACACCACUGUCAUUGUGACUGCUUGAAGUGUAGAUCAUCAUCGUCUUCAUUUAUUCCCAUUAUUCUACCACUGAAUCAAAAGUGUAGAAUGCUUCAUAUUCAUUCGGGUACUGUUGUUGUGAAGUUAAGUGCAGAAGUAUUAUAAUCGUAUCUGUUUUAUUUGAUUAUAAUAAUAGGGGACCUAAAGCGACGUAAAGCGUCAACAAAGAUGUCUGCUUCAUUAGUGUAACAAAACGCGACCCUGCCAGCGGCAGCGUGUUUUGGAGCCGUUGGGUUUCCUCACCUCCGGGGCAAUCAUUCGUUCACAUAGCGUUGCUUUCCGGCCCGCUGGACAACGAUCGUAUCGAUCCGAUCGCUUCCAAUCGAUGCUGAACCGUCCAAGAGAAGAGGAAAAAGCAACACCCGUCGAUGUUGGAGGGAAAAACCCCCCGACUCAUUAUUCGGGGAGCGGAAAGAUCCCAAUGCAAGAGCGCAACACCGCUCUCGGCGAAGAGACUUCAACCACUUUUCUCCCCCUCUACCAACCGUUGCUCUCGAUGCUAUCGAUUGGCGAUUUUUAUCGAUUAUUAGUCGCAGCUUAUUAACUCUCGAAUAAAUUACGCCUCGCCAAUCAGUCUAUCGGAAUCGGUGGCCGAGAGUGGCUGUGAAGAGUUUUACGGUCCGCCGGCCAAAGGGACAACACUGCACGCGUUGGCCGUGGAGGAGCGAGCGGCUGUGUGUGUGUGUGUGUGUGUGUGUGAAAGCCCCAUUGGACGGUCGAUUUUGUUUAAACUCGGCGCACUUGCUCUGCUCUAGCCUAAAGUGGCUCACAACACGCAUGAAAGGCACAGCAAGGCAGGUUCGCUCAUAAGGCACCCGACUCACCAGCAACUGCCAAUUGAUUCGAGCUCGAAUAAACCACGAGCGGCGCUGCUCUUUAUCCACGCAUAUAUAUAUACAUCGUUUGUGCGCUGAAUCCGACGCGCUUAUGUCACCUUCAGGCGACCUCGUCCUGUCGUAACCGCUCGCUCUCUCGACCUAGGUUUCGCGCACCGCACGCAGCCAAUUACGAGAAAGCGCAAGAAAAUUUGCAUUUCGGGCUCGUAAAUUAGACGCGAAAAUUGCGCCGAUCGAUGUGUCGCUGUGUGUCGGAAUCGUGUUGUUCGCUGUCGUCUGUGCUGUGCGGUGCGUGCGGCGAUGAUGCUGUAUUGUACGGAAAGCCACCACCACCUGUGAGCGCAGGAAACAUAGCAGAAAAGGCAUCCAGCACAGCACAUCCGGCUGUAGAAUGGGAUGGAAGAGUGGACUAAAAUAGAGCAAAAGUAAGCAGAAGGAGGUUGAGGUUGCCGCACAGAUUCGGGUAGAAAUAUCUAAAAUCAGCUCUGUUUUAUUUACAAACAUCUGGGGCAUAUUCGUUGCAGCAUCGAAUUUCUAUCAUCACUCAUUCGUACGCUUGCAAGGCUUUCGGAAGGUGAAAAAAAGAUCUAAUUAAAUUUACAUCUGAUAAAUUCCAAUCUAAGCCACAAAUCUCGCCUCACAUGUCUAGCAAGGUGGACGGACGGUAGAGGGUUGAC